GCUCCUGUGGCGCAAUUGGUUAGCGCGCGGUACUUAUAAUGCCGAGGUUGUGAGUUCGAGCCUCACCUGGAGCA
Molecule: transfer RNA, 74 nt
Filed under: Dallia pectoralis (Alaska blackfish)
Lineage: Eukaryota; Metazoa; Chordata; Actinopteri; Esociformes; Umbridae
Description: tRNA-OTHER
Rfam family: tRNA
About the family: Transfer RNA (tRNA) molecules are approximately 80 nucleotides in length. Their secondary structure includes four short double-helical elements and three loops (D, anti-codon, and T loops).
Source: RNAcentral